This 1421-nucleotide ribosomal RNA is filed under the name Staphylococcus aureus. Its description in RNAcentral is "partial 23S ribosomal RNA". It matches the Rfam family "Bacterial large subunit ribosomal RNA", at positions 1002 to 2424 of the family's 2925-position model. The record is from RNAcentral. Lineage: Bacteria; Bacillati; Bacillota; Bacilli; Caryophanales; Staphylococcaceae.
GGUCCGUGUUCGAAAGGGAAACAGCCCAGACCACCAGCUAAGGUCCCAAAAUAUAUGUUAAGUGGAAAAGGAUGUGGCGUUGCCCAGACAACUAGGAUGUUGGCUUAGAAGCAGCCAUCAUUUAAAGAGUGCGUAAUAGCUCACUAGUCGAGUGACACUGCGCCGAAAAUGUACCGGGGCUAAACAUAUUACCGAAGCUGUGGAUUGUCCUUUGGACAAUGGUAGGAGAGCGUUCUAAGGGCGUUGAAGCAUGAUCGUAAGGACAUGUGGAGCGCUUAGAAGUGAGAAUGCCGGUGUGAGUAGCGAAAGACGGGUGAGAAUCCCGUCCACCGAUUGACUAAGGUUUCCAGAGGAAGGCUCGUCCGCUCUGGGUUAGUCGGGUCCUAAGCUGAGGCCGACAGGCGUAGGCGAUGGAUAACAGGUUGAUAUUCCUGUACCACCUAUAAUCGUUUUAAUCGAUGGGGGGACGCAGUAGGAUAGGCGAAGCGUGCGAUUGGAUUGCACGUCUAAGCAGUAAGGCUGAGUAUUAGGCAAAUCCGGUACUCAUUAAGGCUGAGCUGUGAUGGGGAGAAGACAUUGUGUCUUCGAGUCGUUGAUUUCACACUGCCGAGAAAAGCCUCUAGAUAGAAAAUAGGUGCCCGUACCGCAAACCGACACAGGUAGUCAAGAUGAGAAUUCUAAGGUGAGCGAGCGAACUCUCGUUAAGGAACUCGGCAAAAUGACCCCGUAACUUCGGGAGAAGGGGUGCUCUUUAGGGUUAACGCCCAGAAGAGCCGCAGUGAAUAGGCCCAAGCGACUGUUUAUCAAAAACACAGGUCUCUGCUAAACCGUAAGGUGAUGUAUAGGGGCUGACGCCUGCCCGGUGCUGGAAGGUUAAGAGGAGUGGUUAGCUUCUGCGAAGCUACGAAUCGAAGCCCCAGUAAACGGCGGCCGUAACUAUAACGGUCCUAAGGUAGCGAAAUUCCUUGUCGGGUAAGUUCCGACCCGCACGAAAGGCGUAACGAUUUGGGCACUGUCUCAACGAGAGACUCGGUGAAAUCAUAGUACCUGUGAAGAUGCAGGUUACCCGCGACAGGACGGAAAGACCCCGUGGAGCUUUACUGUAGCCUGAUAUUGAAAUUCGGCACAGCUUGUACAGGAUAGGUAGGAGCCUUUGAAACGUGAGCGCUAGCUUACGUGGAGGCGCUGGUGGGAUACUACCCUAGCUGUGUUGGCUUUCUAACCCGCACCACUUAUCGUGGUGGGAGACAGUGUCAGGCGGGCAGUUUGACUGGGGCGGUCGCCUCCUAAAAGGUAACGGAGGCGCUCAAAGGUUCCCUCAGAAUGGUUGGAAAUCAUUCAUAGAGUGUAAAGGCAUAAGGGAGCUUGACUGCGAGACCUACAAGUCGAGCAGGGUCGAAAGACGGACUUAGUGAUCCGGU